GUGCUUGCUUCGGCAGCACAUGUACUAAAAUUGGAACGAUACAGAGUAGAUUAGCAUGGCCCCUGCACAAGGAUGACAAAGAUGCUAAGGUGGGGGCAUCUGUGUGC
Molecule: small nuclear RNA, 107 nt
Organism: Mustela putorius furo (domestic ferret)
Lineage: Eukaryota; Metazoa; Chordata; Mammalia; Carnivora; Mustelidae
Source: Ensembl